CCUACGGGUGGCAGCAGUGAGGAAUAUUGGUCAAUGGACGAGAGUCUGAACCAGCCAAGUAGCGUGAAGGAUGACUGCCCUAUGGGUUGUAAACUUCUUUUAUAUGGUAAUAAAAUGUUCCACGUGUGGGAUUUUGUAUGUACCAUAUGAAUAAGGAUCGGCUAACUCAGUGCCAGCAGCGGCGGUAAUACGGAGGAUCCGAGCGUUAUCCGGAUUUAGUGGGUUUAACGGGAGCGUAGGUGGGUUGUUAAGUCAGUUGUGAAAGUUUGCGGCUCAACCGUAAAAUUGCAGUUGAAAAUGGCAGUGUUGAGUACAGUAGAGGUGGGCGGAAUUCGUGGUGUAGCGGUGAAAUGCUUAGAUAUCACGCAGAACUCCGAUUGUGAAGGCAGCUCACUGGACUGCAACUGACACUGAGGCUCGAAAGUGUGGGUAUCAAACAGGAUUAGAUACCCUAGUAGUC
RNAcentral lists this ribosomal RNA (460 nucleotides) under uncultured bacterium. RNAcentral describes it as "partial 16S ribosomal RNA". It matches the Rfam family "Bacterial small subunit ribosomal RNA", at positions 338 to 795 of the family's 1533-position model. The record is from RNAcentral.